UACGAAGGGGGCUAGCGUUGUUCGGAAUUACUAGGCGUAAAGCGCACGUAGGCGGAUCGAUCAGUCAGGGGUGAAAUCCCAGGGCUCAACCCUGGAACUGCCUUUGAUACUGUCGAUCUGGAGUAUGGAAGAGGUGAGUGGAAUUCCGAGUGUAGAGGUGAAAUUCGUAGAUAUUCGGAGGAACACCAGUGGCGAAGGCGGCUCACUGGUCCAUUACUGACGCUGAGGUGCGAAAGCGUGGGGAGCAAACAGG
RNAcentral lists this ribosomal RNA (253 nucleotides) under uncultured bacterium. RNAcentral's name for it is "partial 16S ribosomal RNA". It matches the Rfam family "Bacterial small subunit ribosomal RNA", at positions 524 to 776 of the family's 1533-position model. The record is from RNAcentral.